Non-coding RNA from Lonchura striata (white-rumped munia), 506 nucleotides. The record is from RefSeq and is a predicted model, not a curated record. NCBI's taxonomy places the organism in Eukaryota, Metazoa, Chordata, Aves, Passeriformes, Estrildidae.
GAGCGCUGGGCGCUGUAGCCGUGAGGGGAUGGGGAGCGCGGAGCUGUAGCGGGCAGAGAUGGGGCCGGUUGCGGUAACGCGCUCCGUGUCACAGAAAGUUUGAGCCCCCGGGGCGGUGCGUGGGCCUCUCCUGCACUCUUCUCCCGGUUUUCCCGGAUGGCACCUUUGUCGUCUCCCUCGGAACGCUGGCUUUCCCUGCCCUAGCACGGAAUGACAAAGGAAGCUUCCCCAGGCUCCUCCGUGCUGGAGCAAGGGAAUGACUUCAGAGCUGUCACGGCUGUCAUUAGCAAGGAUCGCCUGUACCUCAAACCCUGACAUGAGAAAGAUGGCACCAACAGGCAUGAGAAAUUCAAACAACCUUGAGCCAUUUUAUCCUACAAGGCAACUUUUCAAAAGAAGAUACUUGCAUGGUCUAAGUUAUUUCAGCACCUGAUCAUCACCCAAUAGUCCUUGAGCCAGGGCUUGCUGAUUUGUUACACCAGCAAACAAAAAGAUACUUGUAGACC